AAAGCUUUAAGUUAAAAAAACUAUUAACCUUCAAAGUUAAAAUUAUCUAAAAUAAGCUUUA
RNAcentral lists this transfer RNA (61 nucleotides) under Polytoxus fuscovittatus. RNAcentral's name for it is "tRNA-Trp". Lineage: Eukaryota; Metazoa; Arthropoda; Insecta; Hemiptera; Reduviidae. The record is from RNAcentral.